GAUGAAAUAGCUCAGUGGCAGAGCGCAGCCUUAAAAGCUGAGGUCGCAGGUUCGAUUCCUGUUUUCAUCA
This 70-nucleotide transfer RNA is filed under the name Burkholderiaceae bacterium. RNAcentral describes it as "tRNA-Leu". It matches the Rfam family "tRNA". From Rfam's summary of the family: Transfer RNA (tRNA) molecules are approximately 80 nucleotides in length. Their secondary structure includes four short double-helical elements and three loops (D, anti-codon, and T loops). Lineage: Bacteria; Pseudomonadati; Pseudomonadota; Betaproteobacteria; Burkholderiales; Burkholderiaceae. The record is from RNAcentral.